This 85-nucleotide transfer RNA is filed under the name Chloroflexi bacterium HGW-Chloroflexi-6. RNAcentral describes it as "tRNA-Ser". It matches the Rfam family "tRNA". Rfam says of the family: Transfer RNA (tRNA) molecules are approximately 80 nucleotides in length. Their secondary structure includes four short double-helical elements and three loops (D, anti-codon, and T loops). The record is from RNAcentral. Lineage: Bacteria; Bacillati; Chloroflexota.
GGAGGGAUGGCUGAGCGGCUGAAAGCGCCCGUCUUGAAAAUGGGUUAGGGUCACACCUACGUGGGUUCGAAUCCCACUCCCUCCG